UGGUGGGGAAAUAAAUAAUCCCCGUCCUCUUCCCUGCACACCCACGUUGCAGAAGUGAAAAAAAAAAACUCUCAUAAAAUUAUGGACUAGUAUUUAAUAUAAAAUUAUGAAUUAAAAAUAUGAUUUUUUGAAAUCAUAAUUUCAAAUCACGAUUUUACUGGUGCCAUACCGCUAGUCAAGUUGGGAUUUUACGCAUGACACGUGCCGAACAAUAGAUUAAAAA
Molecule: long non-coding RNA, 223 nt
Filed under: Elaeis guineensis (African oil palm)
Lineage: Eukaryota; Viridiplantae; Streptophyta; Magnoliopsida; Arecales; Arecaceae
Description: long non-coding RNA (EGUI_LNC019034)
Source: RNAcentral